RNAcentral lists this ribosomal RNA (495 nucleotides) under uncultured bacterium. RNAcentral describes it as "partial 16S ribosomal RNA". It matches the Rfam family "Bacterial small subunit ribosomal RNA", at positions 28 to 507 of the family's 1533-position model. The record is from RNAcentral.
GACGAACGCUGGCGGCGUGCCUAAUACAUGCAAGUCGAACGCUGAAGGAGGAGCUUGCUUCUCUGGAUGAGUUGCGAACGGGUGAGUAACGCGUAGGUAACCUGCCUGGUAGCGGGGGAUAACUAUUGGAAACGAUAGCUAAUACCGCAUAAGAGUAGAUGUCGCAUGACAUUUGCUUAAAAGGUGCACUUGCAUCACUACCAGAUGGACCUGCGUUGUAUUAGCUAGUUGGUGAGGUAACGGCUCACCAAGGCAACGAUACAUAGCCGACCUGAGAGGGUGAUCGGCCACACUGGGACUGAGACACGGCCCAGACUCCUACGGGAGGCAGCAGUAGGGAAUCUUCGGCAAUGGACGGAAGUCUGACCGAGCAACGCCGCGUGAGUGAAGAAGGUUGUCGGAUCGUAAAGCUCUGUUGUAAGAGAAGAACGAGUGUGAGAGUGGAAAGUUCACACUGUGACGGUAUCUUAACAGAAAGGGACGGCUAACUACGUG